Halichondria panicea is the source of this 1556-nucleotide long non-coding RNA. RefSeq lists it as uncharacterized. Lineage: Eukaryota; Metazoa; Porifera; Demospongiae; Suberitida; Halichondriidae. The transcript is spliced from 3 exons. The record is from RefSeq and is a predicted model, not a curated record.
CACAACCAUGAUCAGAUGUAAGCAAACAUUCAACACAAGGGGAAAAUGCAUAAUCUACCAAGGCUAUGUUUGUACGACACACGUAACAUAUGGAGCACUCACUGAUGCCUUGCUGGUUUGGUUGGCUAGCAUGAGUCCGCUGACCCUAUGAGCUGACUGGAUGUGGGGAGGCUUGCGGGAGAGGGCAACCUGUGCAUGCAUGGAGACACACAGAGGAGUGAAUGACAGGCAUUGUUGUCAUGCUGUCCAUAGCAGGAGUGGAUAACGAUUCAUAGUCAUCCUGGUAUACAUGCAGCAACCUCUUAAUUCAGCACCACGCAAAAACAAAUCUAGGAUUAUAACUAGAGCACUAAAGUGCAAACCCUCGGCUGGUGACAUAAUUACAGAAGAGUGAUAUUAUAAUACAGUGCAUGUAGUGAUGUUAUCAUGUAUGACUUAACUGUCGUAGCACAGAAAUUGAGGAACAAUAAAACUAAACCAGACUGGAGGCAUGCUGAAACAUUAGAGGAACAGAGUUUUAGUGGCACAUAGAUAUCUAUGCACUGAAACUGUGGAAUUCUGGAGUCUCAGAGAAGUAUGGCUCCUGCAUGGAUCCCAGAUCACAGUCAGCUAACCAGGGCCAGUCACAAUUCUAGCUUUCUAUUGUAGUGACCCUUUUCCAUUGUUCUUGGUACGGGAUCAACUCAGUUGUAAAUACGUAAGGUACCUCGAAUAAAGGCCGCGUGUAGUUUGCUAGCUGCCACGUGCAAGUUCAAGCUUUUCUUAGCUUUUGCAGAGCUUUUGCUAGCCUCUCGAUCCCAGGCCGAGUUUUCGCUUUUAUAACGGUUAGGCGAACAAAAAAGGGAAAACUCGGCCUGGGAUUGAGGCUAAGCUUUUGCUAGCUUUUAUAGACAAUGAAACUUUUACAUCGAAAUCUACCACUAUUUAAAGCAAGAUAUUGUUGGCUAUCUAUGCUGCAAAGGCAGCGCUAUGGCAUCCAGGACUCUGGUUGUUAGCUAUGGCCACCAAAUUCACCCGGACAAGAGGGUAUAGCUUCCUAUCAAUAGCACCAUCCCUAUCAGAUACAAUGGUAUAGCAGUAGUGUCCGUUGCUUUCCUCUGCAGAUAGGAGGACAAUCCACACAUUCCUCACCACUUGACAACGGUAUCCAAUGACACUCUCCACUAAUUGAUACAUUGGCAUUUAUACAGGCAUUGCUUGCAGUGGAGUACACAUCUUGAGGGAGUACCAAUAAGCUUUGAAUGCCUGCUAUACAAAAUGAUUUCCGUUUAAAUUUUCAACUUCCUCAGAAUCAGUUGAUUGAUGAUGAGAAAUACUGAGGCAAAUAUUUUGUAAAGGAGGAGCUAAAGAACAGGAAAACACAUCGAGCACCUGUUCUGAGGAUUCGUUUUCACCUUCAAUUACAAACGACAAACACCGGUGCUUGCUAGUAGAUUUCUCGGUGCAAAAUGGGCAAAAUUCAUCAACGUAGCAGCUGAAUUUAAAGUGACUUGAGUGGUUGUUUUGAAAGCGAUCCGGAUGGUGGAUGGACUGUACUCAGUGCAUGGAUCAUAAGG